GGCAUUCAGCAAAGAAUUUUAUCCAAUUUUACAAUUGUGAAUAAGCAAAAUUCAAGCAAUUGAGGGUUAAGGGUAAAACACUGCCAAAAUGUGCCCAACAGUGGUAACAUGGUGAUGGUGGGGCCUGAAACAGCAACCUUCUGAUCACUAGUCCAGUCCCUUAACUGCUGAGCCAACCAUACUGAGCUGCAGGCCACCGGAUGUGUCGAGAUUUCACAGACAGUUCACUACUAUAAUUUCACAAGAAGGCUGUCUCAAUCAAGUUGUUUAAGAGAAGUGAAAGAAACAAACACUGCCAUAAAGGAUGAAUUUAAGAAUUAGGCAUCUAGAUCCAACUGCCCUUUUUGGAAUCCUGGUGUUCUGAAUCGCAAGGUAUUUGUAACCAGCGGUAUUAGGUCCCUGCCGACACUGCCUUAGAGUGAGAGUGAGAUAACACCGAUCAACCUUCAACUUUCCAACUGAAGCAGCACAUAGAGCUGGGAAAACAUGCCUCAGACUCCCAGAGUGUCAGCACAGGCUCUCCACAAGACUGUGUCCUUCCUCCCCUGCUCUUCUCCCUGCACACUAACAGCCGUGCCCGCGGACGAGAGUCAAACUCAUGCGGUUUGCUGAUGACACCACCCUCGUUGGGCCCAUCUCUGAUGGGGAUUAGUCCGCCUACAAGGGGGGAGAUUAACCAACAACUACCGGUGCAGCCAAAACAACCCGGAGCUCAGAGACAGACGUUGACCUCAGGAGGUCUGCGGCCCCACCUGCCCCCAUAACUCUGUUGACACUGGAGUCUUUCCGCUUCCGGGGCACCAUCAUGUCACCAGUGGCAUUGAGCGAGAGCAGAACAUCAGCUCCAUCACCAAGAACAGACAGCGAAGGGUGUACUUCCUGCAGCAGGUAUACGACCAGCCAAAGCCAUUGAUGGUGCACUUCUACACUGCCAGAGUCCAUAAUGACCUCGAACAUCACCAUUUGGUACGCCGUUGCUUCUGCCAAGGACAAGGGCAGAUUGCAGUGGACCAUCUGCUAUGCUGAGAGAGUGAUUGGCUGCAACCUACCGUCCCUCCAAGAUCUGCAUGCCUCCAGAAGACUGAGGCGAGCAGGCAAAAAUCAUGACUGACCCCUCACACCCUGCACAUAUCAUCUUCAAAAACUUCCCUCUGGCAAGAGGCUGAGGUCUGUAAUGACCAAAACUGCACCUGUCACCACAAGGUCAGUUUUUUUCUCAACUGCAUUCAGCCUCAUCAAGACUUGGAUCCCCCACUGAUAUAAACUCAUUGCACGGCAACUGUAUUGCGCAAUUCUAUCCAUUACAUAGCACAUCAUUUACAUAGCAUAUUUUAUUUGCACACCUGUAAGCUCAUCAAUCUGGGCAAAUUUUUCUUGCAGUCUUCUUUUUAUGUAUAUAUUGUACUUUUUUUUUUUAAGAUACUACAUUUUUCUACAUAUCGUAUUUUCUUUGCCGUCUUCAUUUUGAUUGUUAUGCACCAAUUUCACCAAGUCACAUUCCUUGUAUGUGCAAAUGUAGCUGGCUAAUAAACAAAUUCUGAUUGUGAA
Molecule: long non-coding RNA, 1548 nt
Organism: Electrophorus electricus (electric eel)
Lineage: Eukaryota; Metazoa; Chordata; Actinopteri; Gymnotiformes; Gymnotidae
Source: RefSeq, a predicted model, not a curated record